Molecule: long non-coding RNA, 2081 nt
Organism: Canis lupus familiaris (dog)
Lineage: Eukaryota; Metazoa; Chordata; Mammalia; Carnivora; Canidae
Exons: 3
Source: RefSeq, a predicted model, not a curated record
CUUACAAUAUUUAAUAAAUAUGUUGCAGGCCUGUCUUACACACCAAGGUAACCUAUAAUCAAAGCACAGAAAUUGCCAUGAAUAUUUAAAGGCCUUUUAUGCUCCCAAAGGCAGAGCCUAAAAAAAGUCACUCUUUAAGCAAGUGGGAACACGGAGCUGGUACUUCUUGCCUGCGGUAGGUGCUGGGUAACGUGGGUGAAUGGGCUUCUUUCUUGAGCUUGGCAGCUCUGUGCCUUCCUCAUUGUGGGAACAGAAUUCUGAACAAGUGGGCAGCCUGAGAGGGUGUUCAUGACCCUGCUGUGCCUGGCUUCUUCCACAAGGGCCAUGUACACUGGGAUGGCCCCAGCGUCCCUUUCCUGUUUUUCUCUCCCAGCUUCUAAAGGUCAUGGGUGACCAGAGCAGGUUAAGGUCGCAAACAGCAGCGCCAUUCUCAUUUCUCCUGUCAGCAAGCAAAUAACAAGUGAAAAAGUAGCUCAUCGUUCUUCAAAUGGUGGUGAUGGCGGGUUUGUAUGUCUGGCCUUGGCGGGGCAGAAAGAAGGGAACAUUGUGUAUAAGUUAAUAACGGGGAAGGGAAAGAACCAGAUCCUUAAGGCUCUGGGUCUCUCUCCCUGUCUCCACUCAUAAAAGAUUUCAGUUGCUAUUAUUGUGCUGAAGUUUUUUACUCAGGCUCAUUUGCAGUCUCUUGGGGCUUUUAUAAAGUUUGUCACCCAUUUCUUCCUGCUCCGAACAGGCUGGCAGUGAGUGCCGUGACUGGGGAGCCCUAACCGCCCCCCCCUUCCCCGUCACCCUGCUCCCUGGACUCUGGCAGACACACUUAGUAGGUUCUCACCACUGAGUCGGAUUAGAAUAUUUUGUUUGAACUGGAAAAACUGAAUGACCCCAGGGAAGACCUGUGGGGAUCUUCUUGGGACCUUGUCAGUGUGCAGCCCACUCUUCCAGGCCCUCCAUGGGUCAGCCCCUUCCCGGCUUUGGGCUCUUGUCUCCUAAGCAUGAAUGAGCAGCCUCCAGGGUGAAAGAGACCAAAAUCAGCAGAGGGAAGGACUCAGAGGCACAGAACAGAAGAAAACUUGAAGGAAUCUACAUGUAAUUCUUCAGAGAGAUCGGAGUAGACAUUGUAUCGGAGGAAAGGAGUAGGGAUGCAGUUUAGGGUUAAAGAAAUAGGAGAGGCAAUUAAUGUAAUAAGACAAUAUCAAAGCAAAAUCCAGUGACGAGAUUGGAAUAGAAAUUCCUCAGAAAAUAGGUCAAAAACAAAGCAAAACAAGAGUGGAAAAUAGAUAAAAUGGAUGAGGAUUAAUCCUCAAGGCCCAUCAUUCGGUGGACAGGUGCUUCAGAGGGAGCAGAGGCCAGGAGGGUGUUGUGAGUUCAGGACGGUCCCUGACACCAGCCACUCGUGUCUCCCAAGUGAAGGCUGGUCAGAGCCCAGAGCAGGGAGAGGAGAGGCCCCAGGCAUCUCCAUGUGAAAUCGCGAACAGUCUUUGCCCUUUCAGAAAGCACAGGGCAGACUGAGAAUUGGCUGUACUGGACAUCUCAGCAAUAACCCUGGAAACUUGAAGGCAUGAAGCCAGGCCCCUGAAAUCCUGAGGAACAGAAUUCCAACCUGGAAUUCUAACCAGCCAAGCCUGAGAGUAGAAUUAGAGAGAUUUUCAGACAUUCAAGGCUCAAAAAGUUUAGCUCCCAUGCAUCAUUUCUCUGAAACUCCUAAAGGAUGUGCUUGAGCAAGAUGAAGAGGGAAGCCAAGAACAAGCAAGACGUGUGAGUCAUCUGAAUGCUCAGGGCGGGUCUGGACCUUGUGACUGCUGCUUUGCCUACCACCCCAUGGCAUUGCCACUUUGAGCACUUCGGGAAUCCCACCAAGGCCCAGUAGCUACCUGCCUUGCCGCGAAAGAAGAAUUACCACCUACCUGCUUUGUGGCGUGAGUGGAUGUUUAGAAAGCCUUUGGAACAUCUCCAGAGAAAGGCCAACUUAAUAUAAAGUGAGAUUUUGUUACUAAUGGGUGAGAUUCUCACCUUCAGAGAGCCUAUGAAUUUUCUCUGCAGUUAUGCAGGAUAAAGGGAAAAACAAGACAUCUCCAGAAAUGUAA